GAGUUUGAUCUUGGCUCAGAUUGAACGCUGGCGGCAUGCCUUACACAUGCAAGUCGAACGGCAGCACGGGAGCUUGCUCCUGGUGGCGAGUGGCGAACGGGUGAGUAAUGCAUCGGAACGUAUCCUGGAGUGGGGGAUAACGUAGCGAAAGUUACGCUAAUACCGCAUAUUCUGUGAGCAGGAAAGCGGGGGACCUUCGGGCCUCGCGCUCUUGGAGCGGCCGAUGUCGGAUUAGCUAGUUGGUGAGGUAAAGGCUCACCAAGGCGACGAUCCGUAGCAGGUCUGAGAGGAUGAUCUGCCACACUGGAACUGAGACACGGUCCAGACUCCUACGGGAGCAGCAGUGGGAUUUUGGACAAUGGGGGCAACCCUGAUCCAGCCAUGCCGCGUGAGUGAAGAAGGCCUCGG
This 408-nucleotide ribosomal RNA is filed under the name bacterium enrichment culture clone ALO1_GLFRUDD03GLA3Q. Its description in RNAcentral is "bacterial SSU rRNA". It matches the Rfam family "Bacterial small subunit ribosomal RNA", at positions 9 to 420 of the family's 1533-position model. The record is from RNAcentral.